CAAUAGCGUAUAUUAAAGUUGUUGCAGUUAAAAAGCUCGUAGUCGGAUUUCUGGCUUGGAAGAGCGGUCCGCCUGACCUUGUCAGAUGUGAACUAGCGUUUUCCAGCCAUCCUCGUGGAGAGCUGUCAAUGGGUGACCCUCGUUGUCAUGCGAUCCACGUCAUUUACUGUGAACAAAUUAGAGUGUUCAAAGCAGGCUUACGCCACUGAAUAUAUUAGCAUGGAAUAAUGAUAUAGGACCUUGGUACUAUUUUGUUGGUUUGCGCACUGAGGUAAUGAUUAAUAGGGACAGUUGGGGGUAUUCGUAUUCCAUUGUCAGAGGUGAAAUUCUUGGAUUUUUGGAAGACGAACUACUGCGAAAGCAUUUACCAAGGAUGUUUUCAUUAA
RNAcentral lists this ribosomal RNA (386 nucleotides) under uncultured eukaryote. RNAcentral's name for it is "partial 18S ribosomal RNA". It matches the Rfam family "Eukaryotic small subunit ribosomal RNA", at positions 592 to 976 of the family's 1831-position model. The record is from RNAcentral.